CUUCCGGUUUGCCACACAACGCAGAGGCGUUCUCCUUUCUCUACGUGGUCCCUGAAACCCGAAGGGAAUUCAUUCUUCUUAGAGAUGCGAGGCCUGCUUGGAGAACCGAAGAUCUGAGUUCUCCAUGAAAGAUAAACACUGGAUUCCAAAGCCAGAACUGCUUCUAGAACAUCAAAGCAUUUCCAUGAAGUCUGAAGAGGUCUGUUUACAGAAUCUGAUGGCAGAUUCUGUAUGUGUAUGCAUCUGGAGAGAACCAAGAACACCCGAGAUGUUCUGGAAGAACAGCGACGUGGGAAGCAUUGCCAUUAACAAUGUAUAAGACAGCCUGCAAAGCCACAGGGCCCUGCCAGCGGACACUGUGCAAACAGGUGAGGACACAGACCUACUCAGGAGGAAGGCCAUGUGUGGACACCAGAGGAAGGUGGCAUCGACCAGGCACAGACAGAUGACUCCACAGCCUUGAUUCUGAGGAUCACAGCCGUCUCCUCACUUGCUCAGGAGACCGGACAGCAUGAAUUCUGGGGACACCCAGCCGGGUCACGACGCCCCAGUGGCCUUGCUGGAGAGCACCUGAACCCUGAACCGUGCGCUACUGCUGACAGGGCCCUCAGCUCCCUUCCUUGGCAGGCAGGCGCCUUGGAAGGAAAUCCUGUCUUCUCCUGGGUCCGCAGACACCCGUGACUAGAACAGGACGAGAAGGCUGGCAUCUCUGCCUUCAUCCUGUGGCUCUCCUCCUGACUGUCCUAUCUCUGAGCAGAUCCCACCUGCCCUGCACAUAGACAGGUUGGUCCAGAACUAUAAUUCAGGGUUAAUCUGACCAAGAUGUACCUAGUCUCUCAUCCCCUUCAAGGUAAAGUCAUCUACUGGCCACGCUGACCAGAAACACCGGCCCGUCAAAGGACUGAGGAAAGGUGGCCCUGUGCUCCCAGAGACCUCUGUCCGCCUGGGCCCAGAGGAGCGGGGGUGUGCCUUUCUCCUUCCUCACUCCUUCCCUGCAUCCAGAGGCAUCUCUCUGUCACAGAGAAGCUGGCUGUCCACAAAGCUUCCUUUUUUCCUUUCUUCCACUGCUAAAAACACGUUUCUGUAUCAUCACAAGCACUCACAUCUGGGAGAGAUCCCCACAUGCACCACACCUGGCUUCCAGGACACCUUCAUCUUGGACUUUGUGACUUACACAGCUGUGACAAGUGGAUUUCUGUUGAUAACUGCAAGUGGGCUUGGGUGCUUACCCCUAAAAACCAAACACAGCAGAACACCACAGGCACCAAGAAGAAACUACAUCUACCUGUAGGUGGUAACACAGAGUCUCUAAAACACACUGGGCAAAAGCAGCAAGACAAAUAGACACCGUUUGGUGACUGAAUUUAUGUAAAAUUGCAAAAGAAAUAAAGCUGUUUGGAAAUAUA
Long non-coding RNA from Peromyscus maniculatus bairdii (prairie deer mouse), 1406 nucleotides. RefSeq lists it as uncharacterized. The record is from RefSeq and is a predicted model, not a curated record. Lineage: Eukaryota; Metazoa; Chordata; Mammalia; Rodentia; Cricetidae.